Molecule: ribosomal RNA, 408 nt
Filed under: uncultured bacterium
Lineage: Bacteria
Description: partial 16S ribosomal RNA
Rfam family: Bacterial small subunit ribosomal RNA
Source: RNAcentral
GACGAACGCUGGCGGCGUGCUUAACACAUGCAAGUCGAACGAAGUGGCGAACGGGUGAGUAACGCGUAAACAACCUGCCCUUCAGAGGGGGACAACAGUUGGAAACGACUGCUCAUACCGCAUACUGAAGGAGGGGAUUGCGUCUGAUUCGCAAGUUGGAGGGGUAACGGGCCACCAAGGCGAUGAUCAGGAGCCGGUCUGAGAGGAUGAACGGCCACAUUGGGGCUGAGACACGGCCCAGACUCCUACGGGAGGCAGCAGUGGGGAAUCUGCCGCAAUGGACGAAAGUCUGACGGAGCAACGCCGCGUGAGUGAUGACGGCCUUCGGGUUGUAAAGCUCUGUUAAUCGGGACGCGGUACCGAAAUAGAAAGCCACGGCUAACUACGUGCCAGCAGCCGCGGUAAUUC